AGUUAAGUGACUAAGCGUACAAGGUGGAUGCCUUGGCAAUCAGAGGCGAAGAAGGACGUGCUAAUCUGCGAAAAGCUUGGAUGAGUCGAUAAGAGGCGUUUAAUCCAAGAUAUCCGAAUGGGGAAACCCAGUAGAUGAAGAAUCUACUAUCAACAAGUGAAUUCAUAGCUUGUUGAGGCAAACCGGGAGAACUGAAACAUCUAAGUACCCCGAGGAAAAGAAAUCAACCGAGAUUUCGUCAGUAGCGGCGAGCGAAAGCGAAAGAGCCAGUAAGUGAUAGCAGUAUAGUGAGGAGAAUGUGUUGGGAAACACAAUCAAAGAGGGUGAUAAUCCCGUAUCUAAAAACCAUAUUGUGGUACUAAGCUAACGAGAAGUAGGGCGGGACACGUGAUAUCCUGUUUGAAGAAGGGGGGCCCAUCCUCCAAGGCUAAAUACUCCUGAUUGACCGAUAGUGAACCAGUACUGUGAAGGAAAGGCGAAAAGAACCCCGGUGAGGGGAGUGAAAUAGAACCUGAAACCUUGUACGUACAAGCAGUGGGAGCCCCAUCACUUAAUCCGAUUGGAAGGUGAUGAAAAGCAACCGCACUUAAACAAUGGUAAGAGGAGCGAAGCGAGUCAAACCACCCAAAAGAAGCAGUGGGAUUAAGUGAUGGGGUGACUGCGUACCUUUUGUAUAAUGGGUCAGCGACUUAUAUUUUGUAGCGAGGUUAACUGAAUAAGGGAGCCGAAGGGAAACCGAGUCUUAACUGGGCGAAUAGUUGCAAGGUAUAGACCCGAAACCCGGUGAUCUAGCCAUGGGCAGGUUGAAGGUUGGGUAACACUAACUGGAGGACCGAACCGACUAAUGUUGAAAAAUUAGCGGAUGACUUGUGGCUGGGGGUGAAAGGCCAAUCAAACCGGGAGAUAGCUGGUUCUCCCCGAAAUCUAUUUAGGUAGAGCCUUGAGGUGACACCUUUGGGGGUAGAGCACUGUUUCGGCUAGGGGUCCAUCCCGGAUUACCAACCCGAUGCAAACUACGAAUACCAAAGAGUGAUACUCAGGAGACACACGGCGGGUGCUAACGUCCGUCGUGGAGAGGGAAACAACCCAGACCGCCAGCUAAGGUCCCCAAGUCUAUAUUAAGUGGGAAACGAAGUGGGAAGGCUUAGACAGCUAGGAUGUUGGCUUAGAAGCAGCCAUCAUUUAAAGAAAGCGUAAUAGCUCACUAGUCGAGUCGGCCUGCGCGGAAGAUGUAACGGGGCUGAAAUAUAGCACCGAAGCUGCGGCAUCAGGCGUAUCACUAAUACGCCUUACGAUUAACAACAUGGAAUGGCGCGAAGCGUCAUGAAAGGUUGUUCAAGCAACCCGAACGUUGAGUCGGCACAUUUUUGAAGUAAGGAUGAUUAGUGAUACGCCUGUUGGGUAGGGGAGCGUUGUGUAAGCGGAAGAAGGUUCAUCGAGAGGUGGGCUGGACGUAUCACAAGUGCGAAUGCUGACAUAAGUAACGAUAAAACGGGUGAAAAACCCGUUCGCCGGAAGACCAAGGGUUCCUGUCCAACGUUAAUCGGGGCAGGGUGAGUCGGCUCCUAAGGCGAGGCUGAAAAGCGUAGUCGAUGGGAAACAGGUUAAUAUUCCUGUACUUGGUAAAGCUGCGAUGUGGGGACGGAGUAGGUUAGGUUAUCGCACUGUUGGAUAUGUGCGUUUAAGUUGGUAGGUGGGAAGUUUAGGCAAAUCCGGACUUCCUUAACACAGAGAGAUGAUGACGAGGCUCUACGGAGCUGAAGUAACUGAUACCACACUUCCAGGAAAAGCCACUAAGCGAAAGGCUUUACUAAACCGUACUGAAAACCGACACAGGUGGUCAGGUAGAGAAUACUCAGGCGCUUGAGAGAACUCGGGUGAAGGAACUAGGCAAAAUAGCACCGUAACUUCGGGAGAAGGUGCGC
RNAcentral lists this ribosomal RNA (1925 nucleotides) under Haemophilus influenzae. RNAcentral describes it as "partial 23S ribosomal RNA". It matches the Rfam family "Bacterial large subunit ribosomal RNA", at positions 1 to 1751 of the family's 2925-position model. The record is from RNAcentral. Lineage: Bacteria; Pseudomonadati; Pseudomonadota; Gammaproteobacteria; Pasteurellales; Pasteurellaceae.